This is a long non-coding RNA of Acanthopagrus latus (yellowfin seabream), 331 nucleotides long. RefSeq lists it as uncharacterized. NCBI's taxonomy places the organism in Eukaryota, Metazoa, Chordata, Actinopteri, Spariformes, Sparidae. The transcript is spliced from 3 exons. The record is from RefSeq and is a predicted model, not a curated record.
CAGUCCUCGUGCAGCGAUGUUCUCUGGCAGACAGAGGGAGCUGUAGGUCAGUUCAGAGAGAGACCUUCUCAUGAGCUCCAUCAUCCCCUCGAAUCCAAGUGAAGUCUAAUAACCAAUAACAAACAAAGUGAAAAUGUUUUGUGAUAUAAAUUUUGGCCACAGGAGGCAGAGGAGCAUCAUUGGCACAUAAUUUAAAUUGGACUAGAAGUAUGGAUUUCUUUCUCCAGGGAGCUCCCCCCUUCCAGGAACGGCUUUACCAUCUCCUCUGUGACUGUGAAGUUUUGGGGAAGCUCUGAGCAGCGCUUGAUAACAUUGGUGUCGAAUCCGUUCA